AUCUAGGCAUGCGUGAAGGAGGCGGAAGUGUAUUAACCCGAGUGGAGCUGAAUGGAGCCGAACUCAGGCUGAUCCGCAUGGAGCUGAACGGCGUUGAGUCGAGCCGGGCGGAGCCGGAGCGGAAGGAGUGAAGAAGAAGCCGAGCCGAGUCACGACGGGCGGAGGGGGACGGAGUCGCUGUCCUUUCGAGGGGAAAAGAAAACCUCAUACCUUCACCGAGCGAGGUUCGCUCUUUUUCUCUAAUAUGGAAGGAUUUUCAGCAGAUCGAUUGAUCAGCAGCAGCAGAUCUGAGACACGUUGUAGAACAACUCGUCAGAGCCUUCAGGAGGAUCUGCUCCAUGGCCUUGCCUGACACAGAGAUUUACACUUUGCUUUCCACUUCACUGACCAAGCCAGCAAGAUGUGCAGCAGCAGCAGGAUUGGCACAAGGACCUCAGCUGCUGCAGUGAAUCUGUCAGCACAGAUGCUGGUGCUGGUGCUGAAUAAAACAUGACAGACAAUCCCAA
This is a long non-coding RNA of Pogoniulus pusillus (Red-fronted tinkerbird), 506 nucleotides long. RefSeq lists it as uncharacterized. Lineage: Eukaryota; Metazoa; Chordata; Aves; Piciformes; Lybiidae. The transcript is spliced from 3 exons. The record is from RefSeq and is a predicted model, not a curated record.